UGGUCAUAGGCUUUGAUCCGGUCCCGACCGGUGGCGGAAGGACCCAGGAACUGGCCCAGCCUGAUGCCCACUCGAGCCCUAAUCGGACAAGCCUGGGCCGGCGAUUAUGGAGCCGGAGUAGAUGAGCUUGCCGAUCUCGUCGACGACGCUAAUGCCGCAGUAUAAAGUGGGGCGGCGCACGUUCUCAGGGUCCCUACGCCAGUUUCUCUAUCUCAGACUUACGUAGCGAGUUCUCAUGCCGCUCCUGCACUGCCUGAGGGGAGCUUACACCCAUUAAGCAUCAGAGCAGUGAAAUGAUGGUCCAAUGAUCAUAAGUUGAUAUAAUAAAUGUAACUGGCUAGUUUUUCAAAUGGCUACCUUGAUUUGGGUUCGUCGAUUUUGGAACCAGAACUUGACUUGCCUGGCAGAAAGUCCUAGCUGGUUGCUCAAUUGCUGCCUCUGCUUCUCAUCUGGAUGGGGUGAUUCCUUGAACAGCC
Long non-coding RNA from Musa acuminata AAA Group (dessert banana), 476 nucleotides. RefSeq lists it as uncharacterized. The transcript has 3 exons. Lineage: Eukaryota; Viridiplantae; Streptophyta; Magnoliopsida; Zingiberales; Musaceae. The record is from RefSeq and is a predicted model, not a curated record.